This 265-nucleotide ribosomal RNA is filed under the name uncultured archaeon. RNAcentral describes it as "partial 16S ribosomal RNA". It matches the Rfam family "Archaeal small subunit ribosomal RNA", at positions 717 to 982 of the family's 1478-position model. The record is from RNAcentral.
AGACGUCUACAUUAGAUACCCCGGUAGUCCCAGCCGUAAACUAUGCGACGUUAGGUGUAUCGGUGACCACGAGUUACCGAGGUGCCGAAGGGAAACCGUGAAACGUGCCGCCUGGGAAGUACGGUCGCAAGGCUGAAACUUAAAGGAAUUGGCGGGGAGCACCACAACGGGUGGAGCCUGCGGUUUAAUUGGACUCAACGCCGGGAAGCUCACCGGAUAAGACAGCGGAAUGAUUGCCGGGCUGAAGACUCUGCAUGACUAGCUG